ACGCUGGCGGCGUGCCUAAUACAUGCUAGUCGAGCGAACGGACGAGAAGCUUGCUUCUCUGAUGUUAGCGGCGGACGGGUGAGUAACACGUGGAUAACCUACCUAUAAGACUGGGAUAACUUCGGGAAACCGGAGCUAAUACCGGAUAAUAUUUUGAACCGCAUGGUUCAAAAGUGAAAGACGGUCUUGCUGUCACUUAUAGAUGGAUCCGCGCUGCAUUAGCUAGUUGGUAAGGUAACGGCUUACCAAGGCAACGAUGCAUAGCCGACCUGAGAGGGUGAUCGGCCACACUGGAACUGAGACACGGUCCAGACUCCUACGGGAGGCAGCAGUAGGGAAUCUUCCGCAAUGGGCGAAAGCCUGACGGAGCAACGCCGCGUGAGUGAUGAAGGUCUUCGGAUCGUAAAACUCUGUUAUUAGGGAAGAACAUAUGUGUAAGUAACUGUGCACAUCUUGACGGUACCUAAUCAGAAAGCCACGGCUAACUACGUGCCAGCAGCCGCGGUAAUACGUAGGUGGCAAGCGUUAUCCGGAAUUAUUGGGCGUAAAGCGCGCGCAGGCGGUUUUUUAAGUCUGAUGUGAAAGCCCACGGCUCAACCGUGGAGGGUCAUUGGAAACUGGAAAACUUGAGUGCAGAAGAGGAAAGUGGAAUUCCAUGUGUAGCGGUGAAAUGCGCAGAGAUAUGGAGGAACACCAGUGGCGAAGGCGACUUUCUGGUCUGUAACUGACGCUGAUGUGCGAAAGC
RNAcentral lists this ribosomal RNA (745 nucleotides) under uncultured bacterium. Its description in RNAcentral is "bacterial SSU rRNA". It matches the Rfam family "Bacterial small subunit ribosomal RNA", at positions 33 to 760 of the family's 1533-position model. The record is from RNAcentral.